Molecule: ribosomal RNA, 434 nt
Filed under: uncultured bacterium
Lineage: Bacteria
Description: partial 16S ribosomal RNA
Rfam family: Bacterial small subunit ribosomal RNA
Source: RNAcentral
AGCGAACGCUGGCGGCAGGCCUAACACAUGCAAGUCGAACGAACCUUUCGGGGUUAGUGGCGGACGGGGGAGUAGCACGUGGGAACGUGCCUUUAGGUUCGGAAUAACUCAGGGAAACUUGUGCUAAUACCGAAUGUGCCCUUCGGGGGAAAGAUUUAUCGCCUUUAGAGCGGCCCGCGUCUGAUUAGCUAGUUGGGUGAGGUAAUGGCGCACCAAGGCGACGUACAGUAGCUGGUCUGAGAGGAUGAUCAGCCACAUUGGGACUGAGACACGGCCCAAACUCCUACGGGAGGCAGCAGUGGGGAAUCUUGCGCAAUGGGCGAAAGCCUGACGCAGCCAUGCCGCGUGAAUGAUGAAGGUCUUAGGAUUGUAAAAUUCUUUAACCGGGGACGAUAAUGACGGUACCCGGAGAAGAAGCCCCGGCUAACUUCGUG